UGAUAAAAAGAGGAAUUAAACCCCUAUCGAUGGGUCUACAGCCCACCGCCUUUCAUUCGGCCAUCUUACC
Molecule: transfer RNA, 70 nt
Filed under: Urostrophus longicauda
Lineage: Eukaryota; Metazoa; Chordata; Lepidosauria; Squamata; Leiosauridae
Description: tRNA-Tyr
Source: RNAcentral